This 720-nucleotide ribosomal RNA is filed under the name uncultured Planctomycetota bacterium. RNAcentral describes it as "bacterial SSU rRNA". It matches the Rfam family "Bacterial small subunit ribosomal RNA", at positions 565 to 1274 of the family's 1533-position model. Lineage: Bacteria; Pseudomonadati; Planctomycetota. The record is from RNAcentral.
GAGCACGUAGGUGGGUUUGUAAGUCAGACGUGAAAGCCUUCUGUUCAACGGAAGAAUUGCAUCUGAAACUGCGAGUCUUGAGUAUAGGAGGGGAGAAUGGAACUUCUGGUGGAGCGGUGAAAUGCGUAGAUAUCAGAAGGAACGCCGGCGGCGAAAGCGAUUCUCUGGCCUAUUACUGACACUCAGUGUGCGAAAGCUAGGGGAGCAAACGGGAUUAGAUACCCCGGUAGUCCUAGCCGUAAACGAUGGGCACUAAGUAGAGGGAAUUACCGAUAUUCUCUCUGCCGUAGCUAACGCAUUAAGUGCCCCGCCUGGGGAGUACGGCCGCAAGGCUAAAACUCAAAAGAAUUGACGGGGGCUCGCACAAGCGGUGGAGCAUGUGGCUUAAUUCGAUGCAACGCGAAAAACCUUGCCGGGGCUUGACAUGGUAGAAGUAGGAACCCGAAAGGGUAACGAACGGUAUCCAGUCCGUAGCUAUUACAGGUGUUGCAUGGCUGUCGUCAGCUCGUGUCGUGAGACGUUGGGUUAAGUCCCCUAACGAGCGAAACCCUUGUUUUUAGUUGCCAUCGGGUUGUGCCGGGCACUCUAGAAAGACUGCCGUCGUCAAGACGGAGGAAGGUGGGGACGACGUCAAGUCAUCAUGGCCCUUAUGCCCCGGGCUGCACACGUGCUACAAUGGUCGGUACAAACGGAAGCGAAGCCGAGAGGUGAAGCGAAUCC